Long non-coding RNA from Etheostoma spectabile (orangethroat darter), 274 nucleotides. RefSeq lists it as uncharacterized. Lineage: Eukaryota; Metazoa; Chordata; Actinopteri; Perciformes; Percidae. The record is from RefSeq and is a predicted model, not a curated record. The transcript has 3 exons.
GCUGACCACAGUGUGAAAACCCAACUUAGCUUGAAGAAAUCCCCUCUUGCUCCUCUAAGUGUCUAGUUCACCUGUUAAGUUAUUUGACAACGUGUUCAGGAAGAGGAAGCCUUUUCAGCUGCAAUGGCAGAGACCGCCCAGUGAUAAUCACUGUGGGUGCCAUAUUAAGACUUCAAGUGAAACCCCCGCUGCCCAGACCCCCAAGGCUUCCAGUUGCAGUCACAGUGCAACGAGCCGUCUGGCACGAAUCAUCUUUGAUCAGUAUCAUCUUUCU